AACCAUAGAAACCUGCGGAGUACCUGCGGAGGGAUCAUUACAGAGUUGCAAAACUCCCACAAACCAUCGCGAAUCUUACCCGUACGGUUGCCUCGGCGCUGGCGGUCCGGAAGGCCCUCGGGCCCCCGGACCCUCGGGUCCCCCGCUCGCGGGGGGCUGCCCGCCGGAGUGCCGAAACCAAACUCUUGAUAUUUUAUGUCUCUCUGAGUAAACUUUUAAAUAAGUCAAAACUUUCAGCCA
RNAcentral lists this unclassified non-coding RNA (240 nucleotides) under soil metagenome. Its description in RNAcentral is "partial contains 5.8S ribosomal RNA, internal transcribed spacer 2, and large subunit ribosomal RNA". The record is from RNAcentral.